AACGCACCUUGCGCUCCUUGGUAUUCCGAGGAGCAUGCCUGUUUGAGUGUCUUGAAGUCAUCAACCCCCUCCGUUUCGUGCGGUUCGGGUUGGAGCUGGGGGCUCUGCCGCCGUGAGGCGGCUCCCCUCAAAUGCAUCGGUUGGGCCUGUGGGUCGAACUCGACUGGGCGUUGUACCAUCCUCGCUCGACAGAGACGUUCCCCUCUUGUGCCCUUCCCCGACCGCCUCUCAAGGGUGGUGGUCAACUUUUUGAAAUCUGACCUCAAAUCAGGUAGGACUACCCGCUGAACUUAA
Molecule: unclassified non-coding RNA, 294 nt
Filed under: uncultured fungus
Lineage: Eukaryota; Fungi
Also listed under: 1 other name
Description: partial contains 5.8S ribosomal RNA, internal transcribed spacer 2, and large subunit ribosomal RNA
Rfam family: 5.8S ribosomal RNA (bases 1-52)
Source: RNAcentral